UAUUGGUCAAUAGCCUAACGGCUGAACCAGCAACUUGGAGGAAUGUAUAGGGAAAACUGGUAAAAUGUGAUGUACCUAGUAAUAUAAGUAAUAAAUAUGAGAUUAACUAAGUUAAUUAAAAUUCUAAGUAGGUAUGUGAUUAUGACAAUAUCUGCAUAGGUCUUGACCAAGUCACGUGCCAGCAGUCGCGGUAAUACGUGGAAGACAAGUGUUAUUCAUCUUCAUUGGGUUUAAAGGGUACCUAGACAGUUAAAUAAGCAAUUAGAUGUACUAAUUAACUAGAGUUUAAUGUAAGAAGGAUUGAGUACGGUGAGAGUAAAGAUAAAAUUUUUUGAUACCACUUAGGAACUGGUAACAGCGAAGGCUACCUUCAAUGUAAAAAACUGACGUUAA
RNAcentral lists this ribosomal RNA (393 nucleotides) under Gyrotrema wirthii. RNAcentral describes it as "SSU rRNA". It matches the Rfam family "Bacterial small subunit ribosomal RNA", at positions 362 to 749 of the family's 1533-position model. Lineage: Eukaryota; Fungi; Ascomycota; Lecanoromycetes; Ostropales; Graphidaceae. The record is from RNAcentral.